CACGUAGGGAGCAAGCGUUGUCCGGAUUUAUUGGGCGUAAAGAGCUCGUAGGCGGCCGAUCAAGUCGGGGGUGAAAGCCUGUGGCUCAACCACAGAAUUGCCUUCGAUACUGUUUGGCUUGAGACCGGAAGAGGUUAGUGGAACUGCGAGUGUAGAGGUGAAAUUCGUAGAUAUUCGCAAGAACACCAGUGGCGAAGGCGGCUGACUGGUCCGGUUCUGACGCUGAGGCGCGAAAGCGUGGGGAGCAAACAGG
RNAcentral lists this ribosomal RNA (253 nucleotides) under uncultured bacterium. RNAcentral's name for it is "partial 16S ribosomal RNA". It matches the Rfam family "Bacterial small subunit ribosomal RNA", at positions 524 to 776 of the family's 1533-position model. The record is from RNAcentral.